CCUACGGGAGGCAGCAGUGGGGAAUAUUGCACAAUGGGCGCAAGCCUGAUGCAGCCAUGCCGCGUGUGUGAAGAAGGCCUUCGGGUUGUAAAGCACUUUCAGCGGGGAGGAAGGCGUUAAGGUUAAUAACCUUGUCGAUUGACGUUACCCGCAGAAGAAGCACCGGCUAACUCCGUGCCAGCAGCCGCGGUAAUACGGAGGGUGCAAGCGUUAAUCGGAAUUACUGGGCGUAAAGCGCACGCAGGCGGUCUGUCAAGUCGGAUGUGAAAUCCCCGGGCUCAACCUGGGAACUGCAUUCGAAACUGGCAGGCUAGAGUCUUGUAGAGGGGGGUAGAAUUCCAGGUGUAGCGGUGAAAUGCGUAGAGAUCUGGAGGACUACCGGUGGCGAAGGCGGCCCCCUGGACAAAGACUGACGCUCAGGUGCGAAAGCGUGGGGAGCAAACAGGAUGAGAUACCUAGUAGUC
Molecule: ribosomal RNA, 464 nt
Filed under: uncultured Klebsiella sp.
Lineage: Bacteria; Pseudomonadati; Pseudomonadota; Gammaproteobacteria; Enterobacterales; Enterobacteriaceae
Description: bacterial SSU rRNA
Rfam family: Bacterial small subunit ribosomal RNA
Source: RNAcentral